Pseudoliparis swirei is the source of this 1841-nucleotide long non-coding RNA. RefSeq lists it as uncharacterized. NCBI's taxonomy places the organism in Eukaryota, Metazoa, Chordata, Actinopteri, Perciformes, Liparidae. The record is from RefSeq and is a predicted model, not a curated record. The transcript is spliced from 2 exons.
ACACUAAUGUCAAGGUCAUAAGGUCAAAACAUUUGACCCGGCCUUCAAUUUUACCUGCAUGAAUCUCACUGUGAAUAGGACACGUCGACUUGAGAUCACUUUGAAAACCCGUUUUUCCUAUUAGCCUCUUAAUAUGCUGAAUCGAAUCCCUAAAUGAACAUAAUUUGUUGGUGACCUCCAAACUGACAGAGAUAUAAAUGUAUGUUAUGUUAUUGCUUACCGUAUCUUAAACUCAACAAUCAGAGGAGCUUCCCGAACUCCGCGUUCCCACCCGAAGGUUGUGUUAUGUGUUUGGGGAGUCUGAUAAGGAAGUGAUAAUAAACCAGACGGAAGGAAUAUGUCAACUUGUCCUCAGUUCCACUUCUCCUUUGUUGUUGUGUGUGUGUGUGAUUAAGCUUUCAAUAAAAGGCUGGACCAAAGGGGUGCUCGGCGGAAUGUCUUGGAGGUCGUCGUGUUCAGAGCAUAGGCGACUGAGCUUCCCCUUUGGCCAAAGCUUUGGUCAAAGAUACUACGUUGUCUGUGAUUCAUUUCUCGCCUCCUUGACCGUGAUAGAGAGGAAAAAACCUAUCAUAACUUGGUGCCGUGACCCGGAUCCCAACAUACCCAUCGGCUGGAUUUUUCUUUUUCCUGCGGAGCCACUGACACCUGUGCAAGGCCCCGACUGAUCAUCGGAUUAAGAGACCGCUCAGCAGUGGAUAAUAAUUUCUGCAGAGAGGAGAUCCAGUCGUGGAUUGACGGGAUCCGGCGGAUCGGAAGACAGAGGGAGACUGACCCAGACAAAGUCAGCGACUGGGUCUUCAUCCGCGUCAUCAAGAAAAAGACGUGGAGCGACGCUCGCUGGGAGGGACCAUUCCAAGUCCUUCUGACGACUGCAACCGCUGUAAAGAUAGCCGAGAGGACCACCUGGAUACAUCUCUCCCAUUUCAAACUGUUCCCUACAGAAAUCCCGGACCAGUGCCCUGAUCCCGAGACGACCACGAGCAGAGGGGAAGACUGACUUCAAAGGGGGCUGUCCGCUUAAAAGACAGCCAUCUCAACGUCAGUGAAGAAACCAACAAUCCCUGCUCUUAGGUGUCGCCUCGGGUGAUGGAGCGAGAGGUCCCGAGGAACUCAAACGAGAGGAGCAAGGGAGAAGGAGCGGAAAGAAGACCCUCCAGACCGCGUACACUCAUAUGUAUGUUGACAUGGGAAGACCUGUCAAUGCUCCCGUUUAAGAAAAUAUAACGUAAACUUUUGGUUUAAGCUUGUAUGACAUAAUUGUGUAAAACUCCUCACAAGGAACCAAACGGACAAUUAUUGAUGUGAAGCUGCUGACUAAAAAGUUUAAUUCCCAAAGAGAUUGGUGUGGUAUUACUAACAAAUUAUGUGUAAGAAAAAAAAGAGAAUAAUCAUGAUUCUGCUUGGACUGCUUAACCCAACUACGUAAAUCACAUGCUGCUUAGAAAUUAGACAAAUAAAAUGAGUGCCCUUAUUGACCAUGUUUAAAUAAUAAGCAAUAGCAUAAACAGGAGGGAACUGACAGAGAUAUAAAUGUAUGUUAUGUUAUUGCUUACCGUAUCUUAAACUCAACAAUCAGAGGAGCUUCCCGAACUCCGCGUUCCCACCCGAAGGUUGUGUUAUGUGUUUGGGGAGUCUGAUAAGGAAGUGAUAAUAAACCAGACGGAAGGAAUAUGUCAACUUGUCCUCAGUUCCACUUCUCCUUUGUUGUUGUGUGUGUGUGUGAUUAAGCUUUCAAUAAAAGGCUGGACCAAAGGGGUGCUCGGCGGAAUGUCUUGGAGGUCGUCGUGUUCAGAGCAUAGGCGACUGAGCUUCCCCUUUGGCCAAAGCUUUGGUCAAAGAUA